RNAcentral lists this ribosomal RNA (439 nucleotides) under uncultured bacterium. Its description in RNAcentral is "partial 16S ribosomal RNA". It matches the Rfam family "Bacterial small subunit ribosomal RNA", at positions 338 to 795 of the family's 1533-position model. The record is from RNAcentral.
CCUACGGGUGGCAGCAGUAGGGAAUAUUGCUCAAUGGGGGAAACCCUGAAGCAGCAACGCCGCGUGGAGGAUGAAGGUUUUCGGAUUGUAAACUCCUUUUGUUAGAGAAGAUAAUGACGGUAUCUAACGAAUAAGCACCGGCUAACUCCGUGCCAGCAGCCGCGGUAAUACGGAGGAUGCGAGCGUUAUCCGGAUUUAUUGGGUUUAAAGGGUGCGCAGGCGGCGUGUCAAGUCAGCGGUAUAAUGUCGGGGCUCAACCCCGGCCGGCCGUUGAAACUGGCGUGCUCGAGUUGGAGAGAAGUAUGCGGAAUUCGUGGUGUAGCGGUGAAAUGCAUAGAUAUCACGAAGAACCCCGAUUGCGAAGGCAGCAUACCGGCUCCACACUGACGCUGAGGCACGAAAGCGUGGGUAUCGAACAGGAUUAGAUACCCCAGUAGUC